RNAcentral lists this ribosomal RNA (298 nucleotides) under uncultured eukaryote. RNAcentral describes it as "partial 18S ribosomal RNA". It matches the Rfam family "Eukaryotic small subunit ribosomal RNA", at positions 1470 to 1796 of the family's 1831-position model. The record is from RNAcentral.
CCCUUAGACACUCUAGGCGGCACGCGCGCUACAAUGGGUGGAAGAACGUGUUACUGCCUCCGAAAGGAGGGGUGAAUCACGAAUUCUUGCCCGUGAAUGGGAUAGUUUGUUGCAAUUUUCGGACUUGAACUAGGAAUCCCUUGUAAACAUGCUCAAGAAUAGCGUGUUGAAUACGUCCCUGCCGUUUGUACACACCGCCCGUCGCUUCUUCCGACUGAUACUCAUUGUGAGUUGCAAGGACCCUUUAUUGGGAAAUUGCUGCAAAUGCUUUGUAUUGGAGGAAGAAAAAGUCGUAACA